Molecule: ribosomal RNA, 752 nt
Filed under: uncultured Mycobacterium sp.
Lineage: Bacteria; Bacillati; Actinomycetota; Actinomycetes; Mycobacteriales; Mycobacteriaceae
Description: bacterial SSU rRNA
Rfam family: Bacterial small subunit ribosomal RNA
Source: RNAcentral
GUAAAGAGCUCGUAGGUGGUUUGUCGCGUUGUUCGUGAAAUCUCACGGCUUAACUGUGAGCGUGCGGGCGAUACGGGCAGACUAGAGUACUGCAGGGGAGACUGGAAUUCCUGGUGUAGCGGUGGAAUGCGCAGAUAUCAGGAGGAACACCGGUGGCGAAGGCGGGUCUCUGGGCAGUAACUGACGCUGAGGAGCGAAAGCGUGGGGAGCGAACAGGAUUAGAUACCCUGGUAGUCCACGCCGUAAACGGCGGGUACUAGGUGUGGGUUUCCUUCCUUGGGAUCCGUGCCGUAGCUAACGCAUUAAGUACCCCGCCUGGGGAGUACGGCCGCAAGGCUAAAACUCAAAGGAAUUGACGGGGGCCCGCACAAGCGGCGGAGCGUGUGGAUUAAUCCGAUGCAACGCGAAGAACCUUACCUGGGUUUGACAUGCACAGGACGCGUCUAGAGAUAGGCGUUCCCUUGUGGCCUGUGUGCAGGUGGUGCAUGGCUGUCGUCAGCUCGUGUCGUGAGAUGUUGGGUUAAGUCCCGCAACGAGCGCAACCCUUGUCUCAUGUUGCCAGCGGGUAAUGCCGGGGACUCGUGAGAGACUGCCGGGGUCAACUCGGAGGAAGGUGGGGAUGACGUCAAGUCAUCAUGCCCCUUAUGUCCAGGGCUUCACACAUGCUACAAUGGCCGGUACAAAGGGCUGCGAUGCCGUAAGGUUAAGCGAAUCCUUUUAAAGCCGGUCUCAGUUCGGAUUGGGGUCUGCAA